RNAcentral lists this small nuclear RNA (23 nucleotides) under Arabidopsis thaliana (thale cress). RNAcentral's name for it is "snRNA_18899". The record is from RNAcentral. Lineage: Eukaryota; Viridiplantae; Streptophyta; Magnoliopsida; Brassicales; Brassicaceae.
ACAAUUUUUUCACGUAAUAGUCA